RNAcentral lists this ribosomal RNA (705 nucleotides) under Bacillus sp. (in: firmicutes). RNAcentral describes it as "bacterial SSU rRNA". It matches the Rfam family "Bacterial small subunit ribosomal RNA", at positions 77 to 766 of the family's 1533-position model. Lineage: Bacteria; Bacillati; Bacillota; Bacilli; Caryophanales; Bacillaceae. The record is from RNAcentral.
AGCUUGCUCCCUGAUGUUAGCGGCGGACGGGUGAGUAACACGUGGGUAACCUGCCUGUAAGACUGGGAUAACUCCGGGAAACCGGGGCUAAUACCGGAUGGUUGUUUGAACCGCAUGGUUCAAACAUAAAAGGUGGCUUCGGCUACCACUUACAGAUGGACCCGCGGCGCAUUAGCUAGUUGGUGAGGUAACGGCUCACCAAGGCAACGAUGCGUAGCCGACCUGAGAGGGUGAUCGGCCACACUGGGACUGAGACACGGCCCAGACUCCUACGGGAGGCAGCAGUAGGGAAUCUUCCGCAAUGGACGAAAGUCUGACGGAGCAACGCCGCGUGAGUGAUGAAGGUUUUCGGAUCGUAAAGCUCUGUUGUUAGGGAAGAACAAGUACCGUUCGAAUAGGGCGGUACCUUGACGGUACCUAACCAGAAAGCCACGGCUAACUACGUGCCAGCAGCCGCGGUAAUACGUAGGUGGCAAGCGUUGUCCGGAAUUAUUGGGCGUAAAGGGCUCGCAGGCGGUUUCUUAAGUCUGAUGUGAAAGCCCCCGGCUCAACCGGGGAGGGUCAUUGGAAACUGGGGAACUUGAGUGCAGAAGAGGAGAGUGGAAUUCCACGUGUAGCGGUGAAAUGCGUAGAGAUGUGGAGGAACACCAGUGGCGAAGGCGACUCUCUGGUCUGUAACUGACGCUGAGGAGCGAAAGCGUGGGG